This 637-nucleotide ribosomal RNA is filed under the name Hafnia sp. RNAcentral describes it as "bacterial SSU rRNA". It matches the Rfam family "Bacterial small subunit ribosomal RNA", at positions 824 to 1460 of the family's 1533-position model. Lineage: Bacteria; Pseudomonadati; Pseudomonadota; Gammaproteobacteria; Enterobacterales; Hafniaceae. The record is from RNAcentral.
UUGUGCCCUUGAGGCGUGGCUUCCGGAGCUAACGCGUUAAGUCGACCGCCUGGGGAGUACGGCCGCAAGGUUAAAACUCAAAUGAAUUGACGGGGGCCCGCACAAGCGGUGGAGCAUGUGGUUUAAUUCGAUGCAACGCGAAGAACCUUACCUACUCUUGACAUCCAGAGAAUUCGCUAGAGAUAGCUUAGUGCCUUCGGGAACUCUGAGACAGGUGCUGCAUGGCUGUCGUCAGCUCGUGUUGUGAAAUGUUGGGUUAAGUCCCGCAACGAGCGCAACCCUUAUCCUUUGUUGCCAGCGAGUAAUGUCGGGAACUCAAAGGAGACUGCCGGUGAUAAACCGGAGGAAGGUGGGGAUGACGUCAAGUCAUCAUGGCCCUUACGAGUAGGGCUACACACGUGCUACAAUGGCAUAUACAAAGAGAAGCGAACUCGCGAGAGCAAGCGGACCUCAUAAAGUAUGUCGUAGUCCGGAUUGGAGUCUGCAACUCGACUCCAUGAAGUCGGAAUCGCUAGUAAUCGUAGAUCAGAAUGCUACGGUGAAUACGUUCCCGGGCCUUGUACACACCGCCCGUCACACCAUGGGAGUGGGUUGCAAAAGAAGUAGGUAGCUUAACCUUCGGGAGGGCGCUUACCAC